AACGAACGCUGGCGGCAGGCCUAACACAUGCAAGUCGAGCGCGCCCUUCGGGGUGAGCGGCGGACGGGUGAGUAACGCGUGGGAACGUGCCCUUUUCUACGGAAUAGCCUCGGGAAACUGAGAGUAAUACCGUAUACGCCCUUUGGGGGAAAGAUUUAUCGGAAAAGGAUCGGCCCGCGUUGGAUUAGGUAGUUGGUGGGGUAAUGGCCUACCAAGCCGACGAUCCAUAGCUGGUUGGAGAGGAUGAUCAGCCACACUGGGACUGAGACACGGCCCAGACUCCUACGGGAGGCAGCAGUGGGGAAUCUUAGACAAUGGGGGCAACCCUGAUCUAGCCAUGCCGCGUGAGUGAUGAAGGCCUUAGGGUUGUAAAGCUCUUUCAGCUGGGAAGAUAAUGACGGUACCAGCAGAAGAAGCCCCGGCUAACUCCGUG
Molecule: ribosomal RNA, 433 nt
Filed under: uncultured bacterium
Lineage: Bacteria
Description: partial 16S ribosomal RNA
Rfam family: Bacterial small subunit ribosomal RNA
Source: RNAcentral